RNAcentral lists this ribosomal RNA (433 nucleotides) under uncultured bacterium. RNAcentral's name for it is "partial 16S ribosomal RNA". It matches the Rfam family "Bacterial small subunit ribosomal RNA", at positions 29 to 507 of the family's 1533-position model. The record is from RNAcentral.
AACGAACGCUGGCGGCAUGCCUAACACAUGCAAGUCGAACGAGACCUUCGGGUCUAGUGGCGCACGGGUGCGUAACGCGUGGGAACCUGCCCUUAGGUUCGGAAUAACUCCCCGAAAGGGGUGCUAAUACCGGAUAAUGUCUUCGGACCAAAGAUUUAUCGCCUUUGGAUGGGCCCGCGUUGGAUUAGCUAGUUGGUAGGGUAAAAGCAUACCAAGGCGACGAUCCAUAGCUGGUCUGAGAGGAUGAUCAGCCACACUGGGACUGAGACACGGCCCAGACUCCUACGGGAGGCAGCAGUGGGGAAUAUUGUACAAUGGGCGAAAGCCUGAUCCAGCAAUGCCGCGUGAGUGAUGAAGGCCUUAGUGUUGUAAAGCUCUUUUACCCGAGAUGAUAAUGACAGUACCGGGAGAAUAAGCUCCGGCUAACUCCGUG